GCAUUGGUGGUUCAGUGGUAGAAUCUCGCCUGCACGCGGGGAGACCGGGGUUUGAUUCCCCGCCAAUGCA
This 70-nucleotide transfer RNA is filed under the name Clytia hemisphaerica. Its description in RNAcentral is "tRNA-Val for anticodon CAC". It matches the Rfam family "tRNA". Rfam says of the family: Transfer RNA (tRNA) molecules are approximately 80 nucleotides in length. Lineage: Eukaryota; Metazoa; Cnidaria; Hydrozoa; Leptothecata; Clytiidae. The record is from Rfam by way of RNAcentral.